GUAGGGAAUAUUGCGCAAUGGACGAAAGUCUGACGCAGCGACGCCGCGUGAGUGAUGAAGGCCUUAGGGUCGUAAAGCUCUGUUGAAUGGGAAGAAAAAAAUGACGGUACCAUUAGAGGAAGGACCGGCUAACUUCGUGCCAGCAGCCGCGGUAAUACGAGGGGUCCUAGCGUUGUUCGGAAUCAUUGGGCGUAAAGGGUGUGUAGGUGGCCAUGUAAGUCAGGUGUGAAAGCCCCGGGCUCAACCCGGGAAGUGCACUUGAUACUGCGUGGCUUGAGUACCGAAGAGGGUAGUGGAAUGCCAGGUGUAGUGGUGAAAUACGUAGAUAUCUGGAGGAACACCGGUGGCGAAGGCGGCUACCUGGUCGAGUACUGACACUGAGACACGAAAGCAUGGGGAUCAAACAGGAUUAGAAACCCCGGUAGUCC
This 428-nucleotide ribosomal RNA is filed under the name uncultured bacterium. RNAcentral describes it as "partial 16S ribosomal RNA". It matches the Rfam family "Bacterial small subunit ribosomal RNA", at positions 354 to 796 of the family's 1533-position model. The record is from RNAcentral.